UACGGAGGGUGCAAGCGUUAUCCGGAUUCACUGGGUUUAAAGGGUGCGUAGGAGGGCAGGGAAGUCAGUGGUGAAAUCUCCGGGCUUAACUCGGAAACUGCCGUUGAUACUCUCUGUCUUGAAUCCCGUGGAGGUGAGCGGAAUAUGUCAUGUAGCGGUGAAAUGCUUAGAUAUCUGGAGGAACACCGGUGGCGAAGGCGGCAUCCUGGACCAACACUGACACUGAUGAGCGAAAGCCAGGGGAGCAAACCGG
This 253-nucleotide ribosomal RNA is filed under the name uncultured bacterium. Its description in RNAcentral is "partial 16S ribosomal RNA". It matches the Rfam family "Bacterial small subunit ribosomal RNA", at positions 524 to 776 of the family's 1533-position model. The record is from RNAcentral.